UGCCUCAGUUUCCUUCCCUAAGGCCUUGGAGGAACCUUGGGGUGCAGAAGGAGGAACCCUAAAUGGAGCUCAGACUCCUGGCAAGUGGGGAAAGGAACAUGAAAUGGCGCUUUCCAGAUGAGUCUCAAUACAAUACGAUAAUCUUUAUUGUCAUUGUCCCAUACAGAACAACAAAAUUGAAAAAAUGUACAUCAGACAUUCAAAAACCAACAAGCCUGCUAUCCCAGCUAUCCCAACCUUGUUACCCCCUAAAAACUCUGAUACCCCAUAAUUAAAGAUAAUAUACUCCCAUAGAGACUACCUUACACUGUAUUUAAAACCAAAAUUGCAUUUGGAUAGAAACUGUUUUUCAGGCGGCUAGUCCUAGUCUUUAUAACCCUGUACCACCUUCCAGAAGGCAGAAGCUGAAAGAGAUCAUUUCCAGGGUGCGCACUAUCCUGCACUAUCUCUGCAGCUUUCUUAUCUAGCACCUUCUGCAAAUGCCUGCAGGACCAUGAGUAGUAUGCAUGAAAACAUCAAUGCUAAAUUGAGCAGAUACCCGGAGGCAGCCAGUGUGGUGUAGUGGUUAAGAGCGGUAGUCUCGUAAUCUGGGGAACUGGGUUCGCGUCUCCGCUCCUCCACAUGCAGCUGCUGGGUGACCUUGGGCUAGUCACACUUCUCUGAAGUCUCUCAGCCCCACUCACCUCACAGAGUGUUUGUUGUGGGGGAGGAAGGGAAAGGAGAAUGUUAGCCGCUUUGAGACUCCUGAAGGGGAGUGAAAGGCGGGAUAUCCAAUCCAAUCAAAUCCAGCGCGGAUUAUUGUGGGGGACUUCACUCACACAGAUGUGAGAGCAGUACUCCCAAAAUUCUAUCAGCCCACUGAGUGUGCAAUAAGGGGAGAAAAUACUCUUGACAAGGUGUAUAUGAACAUUAGACAGGCAUAUGAGGCGCACCUCGGUGGUUAAGAUCAUGUGUCCCUGCUUCUGACACCAGUGCACACACCCCUCAGGAAACAAGGCCAGCUACAAACUCGGAUGGUUACGGUGUGGCCUGAGGGAGCCUCUCAGCAGUUGCAGGACUGUUUCCAGGAGACCGAUUGGAAUAUGUUCGACCAUCAAGAUCUAGAAACUUCUACAUCAACGGUCUUAGAUUCGGCACAGGAAACGCACCAGGGAAAGGUAUGUUAAGUUGUAUCCGAAUAGGAAGCCCUGGAUGACAGGAGAGGUUAGGAGAUUCUUGAAGGCCAGAAACUCUGCUUUUAGAACUGGGGACCGGGUACCGUAUGGUAUAGAAAGAGCGAACUUGAAGAGGGGUAUCAGGAAAGCAAAAGUGGAGUACAGAGGAAAAAUUGAGGACCAUCUAAGAAAUGAUACUAGACAAAUGUGGCAGGGAGUUCAACAUCUGACUGGUUAUAAAUCGAGAAAUACAUCAGUGGUAGAGAGUACUGCUUCCUUGGUGGGAGAGUUGAAGAACUUUGCCCGAUUGGAGGUGACACCAACAGUGGCUCCAACAAGGAUGUCAGAGCUAUUGGCCUCACUGCCUACAGGAAAUGCUGCCAGGGUGGAAGAGGGAGAAGCAAGGCGAAUAUGAAAGGAGGUAAACACGAGGAAGGCUAUGGGCCCAGAUGGGGUGGCUGGCAGGGUGCUAAGAGAUUGUUUGGACCAACUGGCAGGAAUCUUUAUGAAGAUUUUUAACCAGUCUCUGGCCCAAGCCGCCGUUCCACCCUGUCUGAAAUCUGGUACCAUCAUACCCCUGCCAAAAAACCCAAAGAUAGACAGUCUGAAUAAUUUUUGCCCUGUGGCGUUGACACCCAUUAUAAUGAAAUGUUUCAAAAAACUGGCAAGGAACCGUAUCAUAUCUUGUCUGCCAGUAGGACUUGACCCUCACCAGUUUGUGUACAAGGCAAAGAGAUCCACGGAGGAUGCUGUGGCUUUACAUGGUGUCCUGACUCAUUUGGAGAAGAAAGGGAACUAUGCGAGAUUGUUAUUUGUACUUCUGCGUUUAAUACUAUUCUUCCGCAUAGAUUGAUGCCCAAACUAUUAGACCUGGGACUUCCACCGUGUUUGUGCAGGUGGAUAUUAGAUUUUCUAUCAAACCGUUCCCAACGGGUCAGGAUGGAUUCCCACGUCUCUGCGGAUCUCAUGAAUAUGGGGGUGCCACAGGGGUGAGUGUUGAGCCCACUCUAUACAGCUCACUGUGCCCCCAAAUACCCCCGUAAUAAGAUCAUUAAGUUUGCAGAUGAUACAACGGUGGUUGGUUUAAUCACGGCUGGAGAGGGGGAGGUGGCCUAUAGGAAGGAUGUUGAGCAGUUGGGGGAGUGGUGCAGGAAAAACAACUUCCUCCUUAGCUGAAAGAAAACAAGAGAGAUUAUUGUGGACUUUAGGAAAUGUAAAUUGAAUAUUCAGCCACUCAUUAUUGAGGGGAAGUGUGUGGAAUGUAGCACUUGGAAUCGCCUCCACGGUCCAGGGACUGAUCCGCCCUGGCUUCCUCCUCGGAGGUCCCUUCAGAAGGAGAAGGGGUCCUGGGUCUCCAUGGGGGAAAGCGUUCCUGAGGCCUGCGUUCGAGGCCAAUGCUUUCGCCUUUCAGGCUCCAGCCCACCUUCUCUCUGGUGUUUUUGUGAGCUGUAGAGAUGGGAUCACAUGCAUUCCCAAGUUUAAUAAGGAUCCCUUGAGAAAGCUGAGAAACCUUCUUCUUUUGCCAGUGAACUUUGCCUCUGCGUGAUUUAUUGGGAACCAGAUGCAUCCGCUCCAAAGAAGCUUCUGCAGCGCCUUGGCAUUGAAGACCCAGAAAAAGAGACGGAGGGGAAUGUGUGGGUCACAAGGUGGGUGUCGUUGGAAAGGAGUUGCUGGGAGAGACAGAAGGUUGUGUUGAGCAGGCGAGGGAAGAGCAGGAGGAGACAGAAAGAGCCCCAGGGAAAGACGAGGUUGGGCUGAGCUGGUGUGGGAAUGAGAGGCAGAGAAUGCAAAGCAACUCCGGAAACGGUGAACAAGGCAAGCUAUGAUCUCGUUUGAGGAAAGGGAAUUGAGAUGCCUGCUUCCCCAUCCCCAGUGGAUUAAAAUGUCCAAAGAUUAGGGAAAGAAGAAAGAAGAGGAAGCAGGAUUGGAUGAACAUCAUAAGAGUCCAUAAUUUUCCAUUGUGACUUGGCUGAGAUUCGUUGGAACAGUUUUUCAAAGGCUUUAUAGAAACUGGACCUAGAAACUGGAGAAAUACUAAUUUGGAUUAUUAGACUGUCUGAGUUGAUUAAGAUUUGAAAGCUGGGCUAGGGAGGGAAAUGAAGGGAAAGUGUCAUCUUGGUGAAGAGGAUAAGAAGAAGAGUUUGGAUUUGAUUUCCUGCUUUAUCACUACCCGAAAGAGUCUCAAAGCGGCUAUCAAUCUCCUUUCCCUUCCUCCCCCACAACAAACACUCUGUGAG
Non-coding RNA from Podarcis lilfordi (Lilford's wall lizard), 3391 nucleotides. The record is from the annotation of a GenBank genome assembly. Lineage: Eukaryota; Metazoa; Chordata; Lepidosauria; Squamata; Lacertidae.